UAGUUUGACUCCGUGGCUCGAAGGACGACGCUGGCGGUGUGCUUCACACAUGCAAGUCGAACGAGGUAGCAAUACCUAGUGGCGGACGGGUGAGUAACGCGUGGGAAUCUGCCUUUAGAUGGGGGAUAACGGGUCGAAAGACUCGCUAAUACCGCAUAUGACGAAAGUUGAAAGGAGUAAUCCGUCUAAAGAUGAGCCCGCGUCCGAUUAGCUAGUUGGUAGAGUAAAAGCCUACCAAGGCGACGAUCGGUAGCUGGUCUGAGAGGAUGAUCAGCCACAAUGGGACUGAGACACGGCCCAUACUCCUACGGGAGGCAGCAGUGGGGAAUUUUACGCAAUGGGCGAAAGCCUGACGUAGCGACACCGCGUGAGCGAAGAAGCCCCUUGGGGUGUAAAGCUCUGUCAGCUGGAACGAAAAAAUGACGGUACCAGCAGAGGAAGCAUCGGCUAACUACGUG
RNAcentral lists this ribosomal RNA (458 nucleotides) under uncultured bacterium. Its description in RNAcentral is "bacterial SSU rRNA". It matches the Rfam family "Bacterial small subunit ribosomal RNA", at positions 1 to 507 of the family's 1533-position model. The record is from RNAcentral.